CCUACGGGUGGCAGCAGUGAGGAAUAUUGGUCAAUGGGAGGAAUCCUGAACCAGCCAUGCCGCGUGCAGGACGACGGCUCUACGAGUUGUAAACUGCUUUUGUACCGGGGUAAAAUGCCUUACGCGUAGGGGUUUGAAAGUACGGUACGAAUAAGGAUCGGCUAACUCCGUGCCAGCAGCCGCGGUAAUACGGAGGGUGCGAGCGUUUAUCGGAAUUACUGGGGGUAAAGCGCUCGUAGGCGGGAGGUCAAGGCAAGGGUGAAAUCCCCGCGGUCAAAGUGGGGCCUGCCUGUGAAACUGGCAGACUGGAGUGUGGGAGAGGUAAGUGGAAUGCGAGGUGUAGGAGUGAAAUGCGUAGAUAUCAGGAAGAACACCGGUGGCGAAGGCGACUAUCUGGCACAUAACUGACGCUGAGGAGCGAAAGCGUGGGUAGCGAACAGGAUUAGAUACCCGGGUAGUC
RNAcentral lists this ribosomal RNA (460 nucleotides) under uncultured bacterium. RNAcentral's name for it is "partial 16S ribosomal RNA". It matches the Rfam family "Bacterial small subunit ribosomal RNA", at positions 338 to 795 of the family's 1533-position model. The record is from RNAcentral.